Molecule: ribosomal RNA, 644 nt
Filed under: uncultured beta proteobacterium
Lineage: Bacteria; Pseudomonadati; Pseudomonadota; Betaproteobacteria
Description: bacterial SSU rRNA
Rfam family: Bacterial small subunit ribosomal RNA
Source: RNAcentral
AGAGUUUGAUCCUGGCUCAGAUUGAACGCUGGCGGCAUGCCUUACACAUGCAAGUCGAACGGUAACAGGUUAAGCUGACGAGUGGCGAACGGGUGAGUAAUAUAUCGGAACGUGCCCAGUCGUGGGGGAUAACUGCUCGAAAGAGCAGCUAAUACCGCAUACGACCUGAGGGUGAAAGCGGGGGAUCGCAAGACCUCGCGCGAUUGGAGCGGCCGAUAUCAGAUUAGGUAGUUGGUGGGGUAAAAGCCCACCAAGCCAACGAUCUGUAGCUGGUCUGAGAGGACGACCAGCCACACUGGGACUGAGACACGGCCCAGACUCCUACGGGAGGCAGCAGUGGGGAAUUUUGGACAAUGGGCGCAAGCCUGAUCCAGCCAUGCCGCGUGCGGGAAGAAGGCCUUCGGGUUGUAAACCGCUUUUGUCAGGGAAGAAAAGGUUCUGGUUAAUACCUGGGACUCAUGACGGUACCUGAAGAAUAAGCACCGGCUAACUACGUGCCAGCAGCCGCGGUAAUACGUAGGGUGCAAGCGUUAAUCGGAAUUACUGGGCGUAAAGCGUGCGCAGGCGGUUAUGCAAGACAGAUGUGAAAUCCCCGGGCUCAACCUGGGAACUGCAUUUGUGACUGCAUGGCUAGAGUGCGGCAG